Molecule: unclassified non-coding RNA, 737 nt
Filed under: Hevea brasiliensis (rubber tree)
Lineage: Eukaryota; Viridiplantae; Streptophyta; Magnoliopsida; Malpighiales; Euphorbiaceae
Source: RNAcentral
GAGGAAUGAAGUUUAAAUCGAAGUAACUUAUUGAUUUGUGCCAAUAAACAAAAAAAAAAUGCAAAUAUAAACGCUUGAGGAAAUUUAUUGACGCUUGAGGAUCAAGAUAAAACCCCAUGAAUACGUAUACAAAGUAACUGAAUCAUGGUCUUUACCAUAGACUGCACUUGAUCCAACAAACUCAAUAUGGAGUUAGAGAAGAGAAUUAUUAACAUAAAGAAAUCAAUAUGGUCUAUAAUUCACUACCUUACAUGAAUACAGAAUUGAAAUGAUCAUGUCCCUUGAUGACUAGACCAAUAACCUCCUGCAAUAUUUUGCUUAAUUAUAAAAGAGUUUUCAUUUCAGAAAACAUAGAGAUCAGCCAAUUCCUCCAAGGAAUCCAAGCUGAGAUUAUUAUGAUCAGCAUUUUCAAGCAUCCACAAGAGGUGGUCAAAGAGAACUACCUCACAUUUCAUCACCAAAACCUCCUCUCCAUGCUUGUCCUUAGACUUUUCGAGAAGAGCUUUAACUAGAGGAUGGCUCAAGUACUUGGAGCUUAUCACAUAUCGCUUUCUUGUGCUUCCAACGAAUAUAGUUUCAAGCUCUUCUUCAUCUUCAUGCUUGUCAACCCAAACAUCUUCUCUAGUGGAUUUGGACCUUAGGCUGCUAUAGGAUGAAGAUCUUCCAAGUUGCCUUGACAAGCUCUUGCACUUCCUUAGUAUCAAAUUGAUCUUCUUCAUGAUUUUCUUUGUUUUUUU